GCGGAAGUGGCGGAAUUGGUAGACGCACCAGAUUUAGGUUCUGGCGCCGCAAGGUGUGAGAGUUCAAGUCUCUCCUGAUUUA
RNAcentral lists this transfer RNA (82 nucleotides) under Vibrio parahaemolyticus. Its description in RNAcentral is "tRNA-Leu". The stretch from base 6 to 76 matches the Rfam family "tRNA", at positions 6 to 65 of the family's 71-position model. Rfam says of the family: Transfer RNA (tRNA) molecules are approximately 80 nucleotides in length. Their secondary structure includes four short double-helical elements and three loops (D, anti-codon, and T loops). Lineage: Bacteria; Pseudomonadati; Pseudomonadota; Gammaproteobacteria; Vibrionales; Vibrionaceae. The record is from RNAcentral.